GGGGAAUCUUGCGCAAUGGGCGAAAGCCUGACGCAGCGACGCCGCGUGGGUGACGAAGGCCUUCGGGUUGUAAAGCCCUGUGGGGGGAGACGAACCGGGUCGUGGCUAACAUCCACGGUCCUUGACGGUAUCCCUUUAGCAAGCAUCGGCUAACUCUGUGCCAGCAGCCGCGGUAAGACAGAGGAUGCAAACGUUGCUCGGAAUUACUGGGCGUAAAGCGCGCGCAGGUGGUCCGGUAAGUCGGGUGUGAAAUCCCGGGGCUCAACCUCGGAAGUGCACUCGAUACUGCUAGACUUGAGUACUGGAGAGGAGAGCGGAAUUCCCGGUGUAGAGGUGAAAUUCGUAGAUAUCGGGAGGAACACCAGUGGCGAAGGCGGCUCUCUGGACAGAUACUGACACUGAGGCGCGAAAGCGUGGGAAGCAAAC
RNAcentral lists this ribosomal RNA (426 nucleotides) under uncultured bacterium. Its description in RNAcentral is "bacterial SSU rRNA". It matches the Rfam family "Bacterial small subunit ribosomal RNA", at positions 356 to 773 of the family's 1533-position model. The record is from RNAcentral.